RNAcentral lists this long non-coding RNA (529 nucleotides) under Salvator merianae (Argentine black and white tegu). RNAcentral's name for it is "lncRNA (ENSSMRG00000023625.1)". The record is from RNAcentral. Lineage: Eukaryota; Metazoa; Chordata; Lepidosauria; Squamata; Teiidae.
CCCAGCUGUCUAUUCUUUCUGAUCUGAAAAAAAAAAGAAAAUAAAGAAAGAAACCUAUUUGGGAGGAAUUAUGAAGCCUGCCUACAAAAGGCUUUUGUUGAUAAACAUCUUAAGAGCAGCAAAGACUUUUUGUCCCGAAGAACAGUGGUGGGUAUUCCUCAUUUGGGAAUGGCCUGACCUUCCUUCUGAGUUGCUCAUGGAGUGAAGAUUCUCCAUUGGUGUUGUCAGAUGGCAACAAUGACUUCGAGCUGUAAGGUUUGUUCCAUAACCCAUUGACCAUACAUCUGGCCAUCCUGCUGGCAUACAUGGGUGCCCUACUUAUGAAUAAUCCCAGGACAUGGAGGCUGUGAGGCUGGUACCACAGCCCAGCGAAGGUACAGUGAAAGAUGUAACAAAGGCUGCAUCUACUCCUAUUGGGAGCAUCUGCACAUCUAAUGAAAAGUGCCUAGAAGAAGGCCAGAAGCACAACAUCUGCACACCCAAGACACUAGUGCGCAUACAAUUCUUGGACAAGGGUGCUGGAGGACUG